UGAGGAAUAUUGGUCAAUGGGGGCAACCCUGAACCAGCCAAGUCGCGUGAAGGAUGAAGGUCUUAUGGAUUGUAAACUUCUUUUACACGGGAAUAAAGUGGGGGACGUGUCCCCCUUUGCAUGUACCGUGUGAAUAAGGAUCGGCUAACUCCGUGCCAGCAGCCGCGGUAAUACGGAGGAUCCGAGCGUUAUCCGGAUUUAUGGGGUUGAAAGGGUGCGCAGGCGGGAUGUUAAGUCGGCGGUGAAAUUUUGCAGCUCAACUGUAAAAGUGCCUUCGAUACUGGCCUCCUUGAGUGUGGAUGAAGUAGGCGGAAUUUGUGGUGUAGCGGUGAAAUGCCUAGAUAUCACGAGGAACUCCGAUUUCGCAGGCAGCUUACUAAGCCACAACUGACGCUCAUGCACGAAGGCGUGG
Molecule: ribosomal RNA, 412 nt
Filed under: uncultured bacterium
Lineage: Bacteria
Description: bacterial SSU rRNA
Rfam family: Bacterial small subunit ribosomal RNA
Source: RNAcentral